RNAcentral lists this long non-coding RNA (3181 nucleotides) under Equus caballus (horse). RNAcentral's name for it is "lncRNA (ENSECAG00000058538.1)". The record is from RNAcentral. Lineage: Eukaryota; Metazoa; Chordata; Mammalia; Perissodactyla; Equidae.
UCAAAAUAUGGACAUCCCUUACAUGUGUGGAAAUGAGUUAUUCAAUAGCUCUGUCUACGUGGCACAAAGCUGAGAAAGAGGAAGUAAACAGGGAAAGACUUAUGUGCACUUUGAUGGAGUUCCAGGCAGGCUGCCCCAAGAUGGGCCACUCUGGUAUUCAGAUAUUUUGAACUGAAGACAAUAAAGGCUCAGACUCAACAAGGACAUUCGACCUUUCCCCCUUAACUGCAUAAAAGAAAUUUAAAAUAAAGGCCUGUCCCCAGGACAGGUCAUCACCAUGGAUAACUCUGGGUUCCAGUAGUCUGGGAGGAUCCUUGCUAAGCUCACCCUUAUCAAAGGUCUAUUUACCAAACAUUUGCUUGUCCAUUUCCAUGUAUGUUGCCUUCCUCCCCUUUGAAGCCCCAAAUCGCUACCCCAAAUAUCCUCCUUGUCUGUAGCUGAAGAUGCUUAAACAGGCAGCCUCGGCCAUUUGGCUGAGUUGCUCGGUUUACCUGAGCCUCUCCCCGGUAUACAUGUUAUAAAGCUUUGUUUAAUUUUCUCCUGUUAUUCUGUCUCAUAUGAAUUUAAUUCGUUUUCCGGCCAGAAGGACCCAGAGUGGGUAGAGGAAAUGUCUUCCCCCUGUACAGUUUGGUGACUUGGACAGGAUAAAAUUUCACUGGCUGGACACUGCUCACUCCUGGACUGCUGUAGCUGAGAGAUCCUGGACCUCUGACGAGAGCUGGCAAGAGGAAUAACCACGUUUCUUUGUCUAUCGUCAUUUUUGAGUCUUUGUCAUUUACAGACAGUUAUUGUUUUACUCUGAUGUUUUUUGCUUUUGCAAAUAUGUCUCAUCUUCAGAGAGAUUCAAGGAAAAGGACUCUGACACUUACUCUGGAAUGCAGGUUUCUGAUAAACUUUCAGAUCACAAAACUGAACUGGACAAGAAAUUACAGAAAUCUAACAGAGAACCUGAUGACCUUCUACUAACAGAAGAUUAAGAUCAAGAAUCAAUUAUACAGUACUACAUAAACUAAUGAGGAUAAUUAUAACUGUUUUAUGACUAUUGUUUGAAAUAAUAUUGAUUUUUUUGAUAUUUUGUGUUCUCAGAUUUAAGGAAAUCUUUUUCUCCCCACCUGAUCCCUCCAGAAUUUGGAAACUUAGUGAGUGAGUGACUAUUGUUAUUUUCAUGGCAAUAUAGUUAUUUGCAUAAGUUCAGUAAGAAUCUGUUCUCCUUAUAACAGGACACAAUAGGAAACACUGGUUAUCUUAUCAAAGCUUUGACUGGAAUGUCAUGUUUGAGAGAAACAGGUGUAGACUCGGAUAUGACCAGACAGCUUUUGAAAAACCAGGAUUGGACUUUAUGGAAUAAAGACACUUGGAAAUAUUGGCCUGGUGCCUUGUUUACAAGGAUUCCAGCACCCCAGGUAAGUAAGGAAGGUCACUUAUCUGGCAGGUGCCUGGAACUUUAAAAUAUUUUGGGGAACCUCAAGAGAAGAGAGGAAAUCACCCAAAUGUAAGGUAUUGCAGGCGAGGCCUGAUGGCGCAAAUCCUUGGCUUGGCUUUUCUGGCCUCGAGAGGCCUUUAAAGUUCAGUCUGAGAUUCCUCAUAAAAUGUUCCAGCAAAGAGAUUUAAAAGAGCCCACAUGAGCAAUUGCUAUUCCUGCUGCAUUUAUGUAAAUAAUUGGGCCAAUUUAUUGAAACCACAAAUAUUUUGCAAACCAGUUAGUCUUAAUUUGGCUAUCUUUGGUAAAAAUGAGAGUUAUUUUAGAGAGAAAAAUUAUGUUUCAGUAAAAAACUGUAACACAUUUGUGGAUAUUAGAUCCUAGUUCUGUUAAUUGUCUUUGAGGUUUUUUUUCUACCUGUGAACUGGACUGGAUCUUGAAUUCUUCUCCUGAAAUAUCUGGUUACAAAUCUCCAAACUAAUGUUUUCAAUUUUUUCGUCAUUUUCAUUUGGAGUCAUUGAGAAUUGAACCUGCUCUUUUUCCUGAAGCCUUGCAAACUAAAGCUGAACAACUUGGUAGAAACUUAAGAGAGAUUCCUGUCUGUUGCUGUGUAAGCUGUAAGCCACUCAGAAAGAAACCUGAAUGCCCGAUGACAUCAUCAGAGACGUUUCAAGCUGCAAGAGAUGCUCUGGCUCUGACAUCUAGAAAUCUUCUUGACUGCCUGCCCCCUGGGCUCAGGAACUGGUUUAUAGUUUGCUCCAAACAUUAACCUUGUUUUUCUUUGUAUUUCCAUAGAAAUACUUAGUAAAUACCUGAUUGCUUGCUUCCACAAUAUAGGCCCAACUUUGGGAGCCCACCUGCAUCACUGCCUUCCAAAAUGAAUUUAACUGGACUAAUCUAUUAUCAGGACUAAGAAAUGUGUUCAGUGAGAUGAAACAAUCUACAACUCAGCUUCUGGACUAUGAAACUUCUUAAAGUUUCAAAGGACUGUGAAACUUAAAAGUUUCAAAGGCGGGACAAAUUACAAACCUGGGUUCCUUUGUUCAUAAGAUUGUGCCACAUAAAUGUGCGAGUCGGAAAAUCGUGGAGAAUCUGUUUGUGUAUCACAACUCCAAGUUCUUUUCAGCAUUGAGAGUCUUAUUUCCCAGCUUUGGAGACUACGAGUUGAAAAAGGCUAUCUUAAAUCUCUCCAUGGUAACGGAACAAGAGUUCAACACCUCCACAGAAACUUUGAAAAUACUCCAGUCAGAGAUAACAGCCGAGCCUCUGUGGGACUCCAAAAUCGAUGUGCUCUGGAUACACUGACUGCCCAGCAAGGAGGAGCCUGUGCAAUCACUGGUGAAAAAUGUUGCUUUUAUGUGAAUCAAACUGGCCACCAGCUCAGCUUUUUAUGUGUGAAACUUCCAGGGAAGUUUCAGAGGAGAGAACUGAUGGGGUUCAGGGCUGGCUGCCCCAAGAUACGCCACUCUGGUAUUCAGACUAUUUUGAGCUGAAGACAAUAAAGGCUCAGACUCAACAAGGACAUUCGACCUUUCCCCCUUAACUGCAUAAAAGAAAUUUAAAAUAAAGGCCUGUCUCCAGGGCAGGCCAUCAUCAUAGAUAACUCUGGGUUCUGGUAGUCUGGGAGGAUCCUUGCUAAGCUCACCCUUAUCAAAGGUCUAUUUACCAAACAUUUGCUUGUCCAUUUCCAUGUGGGUUGCCUUCCUCCCCUUUGAAGCCCCAAACCACUACCCAAACUGUCCUCCUUGUCUGUAGUUGAAG